This 97-nucleotide transfer RNA is filed under the name Xylariaceae sp. FL0594. Its description in RNAcentral is "tRNA-Glu". It matches the Rfam family "tRNA". Rfam says of the family: Transfer RNA (tRNA) molecules are approximately 80 nucleotides in length. The record is from RNAcentral. Lineage: Eukaryota; Fungi; Ascomycota; Sordariomycetes; Xylariales; Xylariaceae.
UCCGGUAUAGUGUAACGGCUAACAUAUCGCGUUUUCAUCAUCCCUCAAAAAGAGCUGAAAUACCGCGGGGCUCGGGGUUCGAUUCCCCGUACCGGAG